Molecule: long non-coding RNA, 1285 nt
Organism: Oncorhynchus tshawytscha (Chinook salmon)
Lineage: Eukaryota; Metazoa; Chordata; Actinopteri; Salmoniformes; Salmonidae
Source: Ensembl
UACAAGUAAAACCUCUAUGGCCCAUCUUGCCAUUGAUUAGGAUAAUGAUAUGGGAUUUUCAAUCAUUACCAUUCUUUUUGUUUCUCUUCUAGUCUUCCAGCGAGAUUCGUGUGUCUCUGCUGCAGGAUCUGAGAAACAUGCAGGAACGGCCACACUGGCAUAGUAUCUUACUUCAUGCAAAUUUGAAUCAAUAUAUAAUAGUUAUAUCUGUUCUGGCACUAAAUUCAGAGGGUCAAGCAUGUGCGUUCUGUUGACAGACCAACCAAAGUCAUUAUAGCUUGACUAAAACUUGGCCAUAAACAUUGUUUGACAUGCUGUCUUGAUGUUGUCAUGGUCCCUGUCAUCGUCAUGCAGCGUCCUGAUCGAGGCGCCCAGGGUCCUGGUGAUGUGACAUUACAUUCCCAACAGGAUGUUUCAGCAGUAGAGCUGCAAGGUGCUGAACGUGCAGCCCAGGGUGGGAGGGGCUCUGAGUAGGGACAGGCUGAUGACGAGGAGGAGGACACAGAAACACUGGUCAGCACUGGGAAACCACCUCCUCAAAGCAACCAAUGGUUUAAAGAUGCCCCCGGGCUUUUCGUUGGAUGAGAUACCAGAGAUGAUAGUUCCUCCGGACGUCUUGGUCCAGCACCUGUCCAGUGGAGAACUUCUAAGCCCCAAGCUCUUAGAAAAAAGGGUUCCAAAAGGGUUCACUGGCUGUCCCCAUAGGAUAACCCUUUUUGGUUCCAGGUAGAACCGUUUUGGGUUCCAUGUAGAACCAUUUGUGGAAAGGCUUCUAAAUGGAACCCAAAAGGGUUCUACCUGGAACCAUAAAAUAUUCAAAGGGUUCUCCUAUGGGGCAGCAGAAGAACCCUUUUAGGGUUCUAGAUAGCACCUUUUUUUCUAAGAGUGUACCUGCGGGCCUAACACACCCUUUGCCACAUCCUCAUGGACUCUGGUGAGCAGGACUUUACACACUCAUCAACAGGGCUGGUUAACUCCAUUUGAAUUCAGUGAAUUUAAUAAGUUAUAUGAAGUUCCAGUACAUUAAUUAAUUGAACAAAUUGCCAAUGAAAGUCAAUGGCUUUCAGAUUGUUACAUGGGUCACAUUACCUGAUAACGUUGAUACCUAAACAUUACCACAUGCUGUAUGUUCUGUGAUUGUUCAAAGGACACGUGUUUGGAAGCGGUUUAGUGUUUGGCCCAAAGGUCAAAGGUAUGGGUCUGUCAGCAUGUCACAUCAAACCAAUGCACAAGUCUAACAUUGCAUGCAUCAUCUCACUUUUGACCUGAAUGACUUUGAAUGGAU